RNAcentral lists this ribosomal RNA (720 nucleotides) under uncultured bacterium. RNAcentral describes it as "bacterial SSU rRNA". It matches the Rfam family "Bacterial small subunit ribosomal RNA", at positions 756 to 1489 of the family's 1533-position model. The record is from RNAcentral.
AAAGCGUGGGUAUCAAACAGGAUUAGAUACCCUGGUAGUCCACGCAGUAAACGAUGAUUACUAGGAGUUUGCGAUAUAGUGUAAGCUCUACAGCGAAAGCGUUAAGUAAUCCACCUGGGGAGUACGCCGGCAACGGUGAAACUCAAAGGAAUUGACGGGGGCCCGCACAAGCGGAGGAACAUGUGGUUUAAUUCGAUGAUACGCGAGGAACCUUACCCGGGAUUGAAAUGCAGACGACGGAGAGUGAGAGCUUUCUUCCCUUCGGGGCGUCUAUGUAGGUGCUGCAUGGUUGUCGUCAGCUCGUGCCGUGAGGUGUCGGCUUAAGUGCCAUAACGAGCGCAACCCUGACUGUCAGUUGCUAACAGGUAAAGCUGAGGACUCUGGCGGGACUGCCGGCGUAAGCUGUGAGGAAGGUUGGGAUGACGUCAAAUCAGCACGGCCCUUACAUCCGGGGCGACACACGUGUUACAAUGGCAGGGACAAAGGGCAGCUACCGGGCGACCGGAUGCCAAUCUCCAAACCCUGUCUCAGUUCGGAUCGGAGUCUGCAACUCGACUCCGUGAAGCUGGAUUCGCUAGUAAUCGCGCAUCAGCCAUGGCGCGGUGAAUACGUUCCCGGGCCUUGUACACUCCGCCCGUCAAGCCAUGGGAGCCGGGGGUACCUGAAGUCCGUAACCGCGAGGAUCGGCCUAGGGAAAGCUGGGAAAAAAAAAAAAAUUGG